Long non-coding RNA from Oncorhynchus tshawytscha (Chinook salmon), 1118 nucleotides. NCBI's taxonomy places the organism in Eukaryota, Metazoa, Chordata, Actinopteri, Salmoniformes, Salmonidae. The record is from Ensembl.
UUAGAGGAUGAUAACAGUGCUGGCUAUGUUAUGUGGUGUAGUAGUUAGAGGAUGAGAGCACUCCUGGCUAUGUUAUGUGGUGUAGUAGUUAGAGGAUGUUGUGUGUGAUGAUUGUGAGAAGCUAUAAAAAUUAGACAGUCACAAGAUGGGGACUUCCAUUUUGUAUUUUUUAAAAUUUAACCUUUAUUUCAGCUAAAUAAACAAAUAGGCCUAUGGCACAUCAAGGGAACUGUAGCCUACUGUUCAGAUGGGUUAAAUGGAAACUAAAAUGUUGCAGACUGUAGCAUUUCUUGCAGUAAAAGGAUACACCAAAUGUAGGCAACAUUAUAACUCGGGAACAGGAGUGGAAUAAUGUUCAGUUAAAAAAUACAUCACCUUUACAGACGGUCCCUAACUGUGGUUGAAAUACUCUCAGCUGUUAUGAUUCUGAUGAAGAUAGCACCUUUACAGACGGUCCCUGUCUUUAUCAGCAUCAUAACAGCUGAUCGUAUUUCAACCACAUAAAAUAUGCAUCCAAGCUGACCUGAAAUCACAUCAGAAACAUGUAGGGUUGUUUUCACUGCUUUCUAUUUCCUUACAACCGGUCAAACUGAUGUUAUUUGGAAAGUUAUUGCAUUUUCUCCCCGGUCCCUAAACGUCUUUGCUCCGUGAAAGAAGAGAUGACAGAGAACUUUACCGAUGUCAACUAAAUGUAUGCAUUCAUUCUACAUAUUUAUGAUAUUAUUCAGGUGAGCAAAGGUUUAUUUAUUCUUCUAGGGCAACAUGUAAUGACAAGAGAAGCGGCACGUAUCUAAUUAUAGACAAGUUGCAAAUAGCCAAACAAAAUGUCAAAUUAUAAGCAGAAACACAACAGCGGGUUAGGGUCGGGUGCGGCCCACAGCGGGUUAGGGUCGGGUGCGGGCCACAGCGGGUUAGGGUCGGGUGCGGGCCACAGCGGGUUAGGGUCGGGUGCGGGCCACAGCGGGUUAGGGUCGGGUGCGGGCCACAGCGGGUUAGGGUCGGGUGCGGGCCACAGCGGGUUAGGGUCGGGUGCGGGCCACAGCGGGUUAGGGUCGGGCGCGGGCCACAGCGGGUUAGGGUCGGGCGCGGGCCACAGCGGGUUAGGGUCGGGCGCGGGC